ACCUAUACUUUAUUUUAGCAUAUAAGCAUGACCACAAUUGUCUGUGUCAAGUAUCCACAGAUUGGCUUUUGCAACAUGUUCCUAAGAUGCUUAUGAAAAAUUCCUUUAGAGUGCUCCCGAUUUCCCUUCUUGUUUGCGACUCUUGAGACUGCAGAUGGGCUGCACUUUAAGUCUUCAUGCAAUCGAGUUUGAGAACUUCUUUUUUAGACAUAAUUACAUCCCCCCAGGAGCUGGAUCUCAUUCAACAUGCAGAAUAAAUCACAACACUUAGUAGGACUGUACCAGAUUGAAGAAGUCCAGAGAGGAAAUCUCACACAUUUGUGAAAUGCCUCACUUGCACUAGUUGCUCUUUAUUUAUGUAUUUAUAUUUCCUGCAAAGGUAGUGCAGACGUACAAGCUGUUGUCUUUAGAUAGAAUCAAAACAUGUCCAUUCCUCGAAGCGAGAGAGUGAAAUCAGAUUCUGAUUGCUAAAUGGGGACAGCUUCACCAUCUUUUAUCUACUGCUGCUUUAGGAAGGACAAAUGGAAAGUACCUGCUCUUCAUUCUGCAGUGAAACUAGAAGCCAGACAGAACAUUGGGCGAUCUAAGCUUCUGGUUUGAAGUGCGUCUCCUGCCUCUGGAGCAGAGAGGCACUGACUGAGCUGUCCAUGCUGUUUGGCUACCAAGGAACUUUCCACAUCUCUGACUGCCCCUGUUUCUUGGUUCCUCUCUAUUCUGAGACGGUUCCGAAUGCUUCUUGCGUAUGGUCUCUGUGCUUUGAGAUAACAUGUGAACAGGAAACUUCUUGAUUAUUUUUCUUCCUGUUAGUUGUUGGGGAAGUCUUCUCUUUUUUCCCUUCUCAGAUCCACAUGACUACCAGAAGUCGAGGAGCAGAUAGGUAAGCACUAAAAACAAACGCAGCAGAGCGAGCCAUCUGGUGUGUGGAGGAGGGCUGACUCCUACAGCUCUGAUCUCAGCACUAACGUGCGGCAUCUGUGCAGGACUGGGGACCGGGAUGUGCAGCACAAUUAGCCACAUGAAGAGCUGGCAUCUAAACAUCCUGGGGGAUGAAGUGCCUGAUGCUCAGGCAGCUUUCCAUAGCAGACUAAGGAGCAAAACCAGCCCCAGGGCAGUGGGGAGAAGUCUUGGGAUGCAAAUCUCUGUUCCUCACUGGAAAGCAUUGGUCAUGGGCAUCGUUCUCUGCACUCACACUGUGGUUUAAGUGUUGUGUUUGUCCCUGCAAAAAAGUGUCUUGACAAAAAUGUCAGAAGUGGUUACUCAGCCCAACUAAGUUUUCAGCUUCCAUCCUCAACUUACCCGAUGGGCAGAGCAUUCCCUAAUGGGAUGUGGGGAUGACAGAAAUUCCUCAUAGUUGCUCUUGUGGGAGCUUCUUCAGGCUGUGUCAAUGCCAAGUAAAAUGGGUUCACAGUAUCAGUGUUCCCGAAAUCUGACAGCCUUGUAGACAAACCAGCCCCAGCCCAAUGUUUCUCCAUGCUCUGCUUCACCAUGCAACGGCUGACUGAGAUGAACUUGCUGACUCCUCACACAUCCAUUGAGUAAAACCAACUGAGCUUCCAAAAAGAUGCUGCUGCUUCUGCUGUCUGGUUUAGGGUUGUAUUAAGCCCUUACUCUAGAGCUUCUACUGAGAGGGAGCUUCUCUCAAGGGGAGUGAAACUGAUGGUUUCCAAGCUUAGGACAAGAUGAACUCUCACAGAGCCAGCAAUAAAAUUGUGAGUGCACAGCAAGCUGUUAGGCAGUGAUCCCUAUUCUAUCUAAAGUCAUUACCUGCUGGUUUAUCUCCCCUUCUUAGUGAGACAAUAACCUAAGGAUAUGCAUGAAUCAUAGAAUAAUGAAGUGGUUUGGGUUGGAAGGCACCUUAAAGCUCAUCCAGUUCCAACCCCUGCCAUGGGCAGGGGCGCCUUCCACUAGAGCAGCUUGCUCCAAGCCCCUGUGUCCAACCUGGCCUUGAACACUGCCAGGGAUGGGGCAUCUAUGGGCAAUCUGUGCCAGUAAAGAAACAGAAGUGAAGGGGUAAAUAGUUCAUAUUCACAUCAAGCUUCAAAGACAUAAAUGGCUAGAGUUGCAAAGUGUUAUUAUCUGCCACUUUGGAAAGACGCUCCAGAUUCUGUGGGAUUCAAAGCAAAGUAGAAAAUUAGGCUGUUUAUUCUACAAUUCACUGGAAAAAUAAGUUUCUAUAGAAACUACCACUUCAGAGGUAUUUACAUUUCUCUACUAUGAAGCAUCUUAAGAAAGAGCAUUCCCAUAAAUAGCAAAUAGAAGUUGUUGUGUUUGGUAUAAUAAGCUACUACUUACAAAAGGCUGUGUACAUUCUAAGUAUUAUGAUGGGGUUGCUGUAUAAACCGUGGAUCCAUUGAAUAUAUUCGAAGAGACUCAAAACACCCCAUAAGAAAAAUGAGAUAGUGAUGUGUAAAGUAAUGUGUAAGAAUUCCUUUGUGCCCUUCCGGUGAUGAAUCUGCACUCAAACAGAAGAUUGAAUUAAUAGCUCUGGCAGAGCUGAUUCUUUAAAAGUCCAUUUAUGAGUAAGAGCUGUGCCCUAAAUCCAUUAAAAGACUGUGAGGCUUGAAUAGAAGAAUAAUCCUUCCUACCAUAUGGGUGAGAAAGGAGUUGAGAUCAAGUAACUGGACAUUCAAACCGAAACAUUUUCCCUUCUGUGCUGCCUUGGUUCUAAGUGGGCCGUGGUUUUCUGAAGCUGUAGCUGUGAUGUUUGCUAUGUUUUCCUAUACAAGACCUGUGUUUAAAAAGAAAACCCAAACAACCAAAACCCAAAAUGGCCAACCAAAAAGUAACCUAGCCAAAAUCUAAUUCUUUUCCCCAUGCAUUUAAGUUACUACUGUCAAGACAAGUUUAACAUACACGGUAUAAUUGCUUCACCAAGAUACUGUGUUCACACCGACCAUACUUGUGCCUAUUUUGAGGUUUUUAGUCGCCUAUGUAUUGUUAAAUAAAACACACCCCCAUUGUGUAGGGGUGUGCAUGCACAGAUCAACUUGAACAUGGGAUAUGUGGGUAUUUGACCAUGCCUGGAGGUGAUGAAGUCUACACAAUCAUAGUCUGCUUCCUUUGUUUGCUUGUUUCAGAAGCUGCAAUCUCUGUCUUGCAUUUAUGUCCCUGGACCCUAAGUAAUGUCAGGAGGCUUCUGUAUUGGAUGUGACCUGGUGAGGAAUUACAACUAACAGGGAAUUCCAGUGAAGAUAUGAAUCAAAGGGUAGGUUCUGCCCUUCUUCCUCCAAGGGAAUGAUCCCUUAUUCCCUGGGAGGUGCCACCCCAGUGGUUUCCUAUUUUCCAUAAGUCAGUAAGUAGGGACCAAGCAGAUGUAAACGUGGAGAGCUGUGUCCCAUGUGCUGUGCUCCACACUGGCACUGCAAACACCCUGCCUUUGCUGUCUUGCAAAGCUGCACUUGCCCCGUCGGGCUUGGCAGCUGCCUGAAAAUAGCCAUUUCCUUCAGCUCUCAUUUGCCUGUAACAAUCUUGAACUUGUUGACCUUUGUGCCUAUUAAUUAUUGAUAUAACGUUGCAUUAUUUAGGCUUGUUUGAGCAGACAGAUACAUCGUGGCCAGACAGGCUGAUGGAUAACAUCCUAAAAAAAGUCUCAAGUUGCCUUGGUACAACAAAGGGCUGUCACUUCAUUACCUUCCCCUUACCCCCUCCUCUCGCUGGCAAAGUACUGCUUAAAACCUUACUAGGAAUCUGAAGUAUAAUAGUGAUCUCUUCAGACAAGGGGCUUCAUCUUGACUCUGUUGGCGUUGUGGUCCUGAUGCUGGUCAAAUACACAGAGGAAGCUUCUUAACCAAUCCUCUGAGGCUGUGUUUCUUAAGAUACGACCAAUUGUUUUGUUUUUCAAGCCCUUGCCAUGGAAAGGAGACUUGAUUUCUCCCUGGUUGCUAUGAGCUGUAUUGCAACACUCCAGAGACACAGGCACAGCUUGAUGUGUAUCUCCCAGGGAAACCUGCCUUUGAUUUCUCUCAAACCCCGCCGCAGUCAUGUUGUCUAUGGAGCCAAGAAAAAGGCGUAUCACAGCGAACUGUCUGUAACUCAAAACACGGAUGUGGAGCAGUUCUGAACCUUCGGGACUGCAGCAUAGCUUCAGCUGAAGCAGGAAGGAAGGAACACAGCCCUCCGUGGCAGUCCUAUCAGGGUGAGGAGCGCGGGGUGCAUCACAGGUGACGAGCAGCACUGAAUGCAUGACGAGCUUGUGAGUGCCUGCGUGCUGCCUCUUCCCUCUCUGCUCGUCAUGCUUUGCUGUGUCGCAACCUGCUCUGAUGUCAGAAUCCCACUGCUCGAUACGUUGUCUCUAUGAAAGCAGAACAGGCGGAGAAAGAGGAAGGAAAGCAGGAGGAGGAGGAGGAG
Long non-coding RNA from Pezoporus occidentalis (night parrot), 4347 nucleotides. RefSeq lists it as uncharacterized. The record is from RefSeq and is a predicted model, not a curated record. The transcript has 3 exons. Lineage: Eukaryota; Metazoa; Chordata; Aves; Psittaciformes; Psittacidae.